Molecule: ribosomal RNA, 598 nt
Filed under: Adelocera sp. UPOL RK0053
Lineage: Eukaryota; Metazoa; Arthropoda; Insecta; Coleoptera; Elateridae
Description: eukaryotic LSU rRNA
Rfam family: Eukaryotic large subunit ribosomal RNA
Source: RNAcentral
AAACCUAAAGGCGCAAUGAAAGUGAAGGCGCGCCUUGCGCGCGCCGAGGGAGGAUGGGCGCGGUUACGUGCCGCGCCCCGCACUCCCGGGGCGUCUCGUUCUCAUCGCGAGAAGAGGCGCACCCAGAGCGUACACGCUGGGACCCGAAAGAUGGUGAACUAUGCCUGGUCAGGACGAAGUCAGGGGAAACCCUGAUGGAGGUCCGUAGCGAUUCUGACGUGCAAAUCGAUCGUCGGAACUGGGUAUAGGGGCGAAAGACUAAUCGAACCAUCUAGUAGCUGGUUCCCUCCGAAGUUUCCCUCAGGAUAGCUGGCGCUCGCUUUUGCGAGUCUCAUCCGGUAAAGCGAAUGAUUAGAGGCAUUGGGGUCGAAACGGCCUCAACCUAUUCUCAAACUUUAAAUGGGUGAGAUCUCCGGCUUGCUUAAAUUUUAUUUAUGAAGCCGCGAGAUCGGAUCAGAGUGCCAAGUGGGCCAUUUUUGGUAAGCAGAACUGGCGCUGUGGGAUGAACCAAACGCGGAGUUAAAGCGCCUAAAUCGACGCUUAUGGGAUACCAUGAAAGGCGUUGGUAACUUAAGACAGCAGGACGGUGGCCAUGGAA